Molecule: ribosomal RNA, 519 nt
Filed under: uncultured bacterium
Lineage: Bacteria
Description: bacterial SSU rRNA
Rfam family: Bacterial small subunit ribosomal RNA
Source: RNAcentral
GGACGAACGCUGGCGGCGUGCCUAAUACAUGCAAGUCGAACGGUCUUUCUAUGGAAGCUUGCUUCCACUGAGAAGAUAGUGGCGAACGGGUGAGUAACACGUGGGUAACCUGCCCAUAAGAGGGGGAUAACAUCCGGAAACGGGUGCUAAUACCGCAUAGUUUUCUUGAUCGCAUGAUUGAGAAAGGAAAGACGGCCUUUGUGCUGUCGCUUAUGGAUGGACCCGCGGCGUAUUAGUUAGUUGGUGAGGUAACGGCUCACCAAGACGAUGAUACGUAGCCGACCUGAGAGGGUGAUCGGCCACAUUGGGACUGAGACACGGCCCAAACUCCUACGGGAGGCAGCAGUAGGGAAUCUUCCGCAAUGGACGAAAGUCUGACGGAGCAACGCCGCGUGAGUGAAGAAAAGGUUUUCGGAUCGUAAAACUCUGUUGUCAGAGAAGAACAAGUUGGAGAGUAACUGCUCCAGCCUUGACGGUAUCUGACCAGAAAGCCACGGCUAACUACGUGCCAGCCGCCGC